GGAGGGAGGGGGUGGAGGGGGAGCACAAUAAUACAAUUCUGUUUAGGGCACCCAUUUGGCCAGUAGCGGACCUGAUUCUGCCUUAACAUUACACUUGUCACAAACGGAUGGAAAAAUUCUGGAAACAGACGUCUCAAACAGGUUUGAUGAAGUUUUACAUCCUGUAUCAGGUGCGAGCGCGGACGAGACCACGCUCCGGUGGAUGACGGCACGGGAGACUCACGUCGUCGCCUCGGGAACCCCGACACGCCCUCAAGAAGGAGACAGAUCUGGACUGCUGGCAGGCCGGUCAAGCACACGCACUCCGUAUCUACGAAGCCAUGCUGUUGUAGCACAUGCAGAAUGAGGCCUGGCAUUGUCCUGAUAAAGUAACCAUGGACUUCCCGGGAAAAGACGUUGCCUUGAUGGCAGCAUGUGUCUCUCUUAAACCCCUCAUAUAUACGCCUCAGCGUCAAUGAGAACUCGACAUCCGUUUUUCCCGAAAACAAGCUGAAACAUGGACUCAUCUGACCACAGCACGCCUUUCCACUGCCUUUCAGUCCAUCUGAAAUGAGCUCAGGCCCAGAGAACUCGGCGGCGUUUCUGCAUAGAGUUGAUGUAUGGCUUCCUCCUUGUGUAAAAGAGUUUCAGGUUGCAUUUCUGGAUGCAGCAGCUGACUGCGUUAAGUGACAACGGUUUUCCG
This is a long non-coding RNA of Ictalurus punctatus (channel catfish), 682 nucleotides long. The record is from Ensembl. NCBI's taxonomy places the organism in Eukaryota, Metazoa, Chordata, Actinopteri, Siluriformes, Ictaluridae.